RNAcentral lists this long non-coding RNA (373 nucleotides) under Marmota monax (woodchuck). The record is from RNAcentral. Lineage: Eukaryota; Metazoa; Chordata; Mammalia; Rodentia; Sciuridae.
GGGGCCCCAGCAAACUUCCAGCUGCCGGCUGAUGAUUGGCUCACAGCGGCCCCAGCAACAUCUAGCUGAUUGGCUCCUCUGCAGUGAUGCUCAUUGGGCUGUUUCCCUGCCCUUUCAGACCACGGAGCUGCUCAUUGGGGGACUUUUUUGGCUCCGCCCACAUGACCCAGCCAAUCGGCCUCAAGAGCAGGAGGAUUGUGGGAGGUGGAGAGAAGCUUGUGUGGGAGAGAGAGGCUUGUGGAAAGCCGGUGGUGGCAGUUGAGGCUCUGAGGAUUUUUCCUGAGAGGCUGUUUUGUUUGGCGUGUGUGGUUCUAAAAAUAAAGUUAGUUUCUUUUGACAAGUGGCUCCUGAUUGUGCCCAGCCAGACUGCGGC